ACGGCAAGUUUGCUUCUGUUUCCACAAACACAUUUACUGUUCAGUGCCUUUGCAAACCAUACUUAAAUCAUCAACAAUUAAUAGAUAUGUCCAUAUCCAGUACUCAUUAUUGGGAAUGGGGAACUCAUCGGGAGUCCAGAGACUGAAAUCAUCCUCCCCCUAACCCCAAGGUUUAGGCAACAGAAUCAUGUUUACUCCUUGGGUAGGUAAUACAAAAGUUAAAUGCUUAUUUUUUGAAUAAUUUGCACAAAGCUUAAUACUGACAUUUUGAAAAUAGUUUCCUAUUUUAAUGAACAUUUCCUGAACAUCUGGUAGUGCUAUUAUGACAUUAAAAACUGACUUUUUCCUGUCCUUAAUUUAAGAAUGUUUUUUUCUUCUAUGCCAGAUGCUGAAAAUUAUGUUAAA
This 405-nucleotide long non-coding RNA is filed under the name Anas platyrhynchos platyrhynchos (common mallard). RNAcentral describes it as "lncRNA (ENSAPLG00000022126.1)". The record is from RNAcentral. Lineage: Eukaryota; Metazoa; Chordata; Aves; Anseriformes; Anatidae.